GUGAGUAAUGCCUAGGAAUCUGCCUAGUAGUGGGGGAUAACGUCCGGAAACGGGCGCUAAUACCGCAUACGUCCUACGGGAGAAAGUGGGGGAUCUUCGGACCUCACGCUAUUAGAUGAGCCUAGGUCGGAUUAGCUAGUUGGUGAGGUAAUGGCUCACCAAGGCGACGAUCCGUAACUGGUCUGAGAGGAUGAUCAGUCACACUGGAACUGAGACACGGUCCAGACUCCUACGGGAGGCAGCAGUGGGGAAUAUUGGACAAUGGGCGAAAGCCUGAUCCAGCCAUGCCGCGUGUGUGAAGAAGGUCUUCGGAUUGUAAAGCACUUUAAGUUGGGAGGAAGGGCAGUUACCUAAUACGUGAUUGUUUUGACGUUACCGACAGAAUAAGCACCGGCUAACUCUGUGCCAGCAGCCGCGGUAAUACAGAGGGUGCAAGCGUUAAUCGGAAUUACUGGGCGUAAAGCGCGCGUAGGUGGUUUGUUAAGUUGGAUGUGAAAGCCCCGGGCUCAACCUGGGAACUGCAUCCAAAACUGGCAAGCUAGAGUAUGGUAGAGGGUGGUGGAAUUUCCUGUGUAGCGGUGAAAUGCGUAGAUAUAGGAAGGAACACCAGUGGCGAAAGCGACCACCUGGGACUGAUACUGACACUGAGUGCGAAAGCGUGGGGAGCAAACAGGAUUAGAUACCCUGGUUAGUCCACCGCCGUAACGAUUGUCACUAGCCGUUGGGAGCCUUGAGCUUCUUAGUUGCGCAGCUUACGCAUUAAGUUUGAC
RNAcentral lists this ribosomal RNA (770 nucleotides) under Pseudomonas sp. Its description in RNAcentral is "bacterial SSU rRNA". It matches the Rfam family "Bacterial small subunit ribosomal RNA", at positions 106 to 870 of the family's 1533-position model. Lineage: Bacteria; Pseudomonadati; Pseudomonadota; Gammaproteobacteria; Pseudomonadales; Pseudomonadaceae. The record is from RNAcentral.